GCCUGGGUGGCUCAGUAAGUUGAGCUUCUGACUUCAGCUCAGGUCAUGAUCUCAUGGUUUAUGGGUUUGAGCCCCACGUCAGGCU
Non-coding RNA from Felis catus (domestic cat), 85 nucleotides. NCBI's taxonomy places the organism in Eukaryota, Metazoa, Chordata, Mammalia, Carnivora, Felidae. The record is from Rfam.